GGCUAACACUGGCGGCGUGUCUUAGCCAUGCAAGUCGAGCGGACUUAUGGGGUAACUUAUAAGUCAGCGGCGGACGGCGGAGUAACACGUAGCUAACCUACCCUCUGGACGGGGGAUAACCUACCGAAAGGUGGGCUAAUACCCGAUGUAGUCAUCCUGUAUAGGGGGUGAUGAAAGGUGGGCUUCUGUUUACAAGCUCAUGCUGGAGGAGGGGGCUGCGGCCUAUCAGGUAGUUGGUAGGGUAAUAGCCUACCAAGCCGAUGACGGGUAGCCGGCCUGAGAGGGUGUACGGCCACACUGGGACUGAGACACGGCCCAGACUCCUACGGGAGGCAGCAGUGGGGAAUAUUGCGCAAUGGGGGAAACCCUGACGCAGCGACGCCGCGUGAGCGAAGAAGGCCUUCGGGUUGUAAAGCUCUGUUGUAAGGGACGAAGGAUUGGGGUAGUAACUGACCCCAAGGUGACGGUACCUUACGAGGAAGCCCCGGCUAACUACGUG
This 499-nucleotide ribosomal RNA is filed under the name uncultured bacterium. RNAcentral describes it as "bacterial SSU rRNA". It matches the Rfam family "Bacterial small subunit ribosomal RNA", at positions 28 to 507 of the family's 1533-position model. The record is from RNAcentral.